AGAGMCCYWMRAGMGUUAUCCGGAUUCAUUGGGCGUAAAGCGUCUGUMGGGGGUUGUAUUAGUCUCCUGUUAAAUCACGGGGCUUAACUCCGUAACCGCGGGGGAAACGGUACAACUUCGAGUGCGCAAGAGGCAAGCGGAACUCAUGGUGUAGCAGUGAAAUGCGUUGAUAUCAUGGGGAACACCAAAGGCGAAGGCAGCUUGCUGGGGCGCCACUGACCCUGAGAGACGAAAGCGUGGGUAGCGAAUGGGAUUAGAUACCCCAGUAGUCCACGCCCUAAACGAUGCCAACUAGCUAUGUAGAGUAUCGACCCUCUA
RNAcentral lists this ribosomal RNA (318 nucleotides) under uncultured bacterium. RNAcentral describes it as "partial 16S ribosomal RNA". It matches the Rfam family "Bacterial small subunit ribosomal RNA", at positions 526 to 841 of the family's 1533-position model. The record is from RNAcentral.